This 465-nucleotide ribosomal RNA is filed under the name Vreelandella stevensii. Its description in RNAcentral is "partial 16S ribosomal RNA". It matches the Rfam family "Bacterial small subunit ribosomal RNA", at positions 338 to 795 of the family's 1533-position model. The record is from RNAcentral. Lineage: Bacteria; Pseudomonadati; Pseudomonadota; Gammaproteobacteria; Oceanospirillales; Halomonadaceae.
CCUACGGGAUGCAGCAGUGGGGAAUAUUGGACAAUGGGCGAAAGCCUGAUCCAGCCAUGCCGCGUGUGUGAAGAAGGCCUUCGGGUUGUAAAGCACUUUCAGUGGGGAAGAAAGCCUUGGGGCUAAUACCCUCGAGGAAGGACAUCACCCACAGAAGAAGCACCGGCUAACUCCGUGCCAGCAGCCGCGGUAAUACGGAGGGUGCGAGCGUUAAUCGGAAUUACUGGGCGUAAAGCGCGCGUAGGCGGUCUGAUAAGCCGGUUGUGAAAGCCCCGGGCUCAACCUGGGAACGGCAUCCGGAACUGUCAGGCUAGAGUGCAGGAGAGGAAGGUAGAAUUCCCGGUGUAGCGGUGAAAUGCGUAGAGAUCGGGAGGAAUACCAGUGGCGAAGGCGGCCUUCUGGACUGACACUGACGCUGAGGUGCGAAAGCGUGGGUAGCAAACAGGAUUAGAUACCCCUGUAGUC